Molecule: microRNA precursor, 60 nt
Filed under: Daphnia magna
Lineage: Eukaryota; Metazoa; Arthropoda; Branchiopoda; Diplostraca; Daphniidae
Description: Dma-Mir-12606_pre stem-loop
Source: RNAcentral
UCUUGGUUGCUCGGUCUUUAGGAUUUUUAUCAUCAUUCCUAAAGCUCGGCUAGCAGGAUC